RNAcentral lists this unclassified non-coding RNA (798 nucleotides) under Hevea brasiliensis (rubber tree). The record is from RNAcentral. Lineage: Eukaryota; Viridiplantae; Streptophyta; Magnoliopsida; Malpighiales; Euphorbiaceae.
AAACUUAUUGCUUAUUGCCUAUAUUGAGAAUAAGAACUAAAGACCUGUUUAAUUUGCAAAGAAGAUAGGGAAUACUGAUUCUGAGAGAUAUUUGAGUAUCAUUUAGAAAAUGAUAGGAUUCUGAAACAUUUAUUUCACAGUUAAUUGUUAUUGGAAAAAUUUUCAAAUUAGAUCAUGGAACAAUUACCAUCUAUGAAAAAUUUGGGAACAUAUGCCAUGUGAUUGUAUUUUGUUGGUAUCGGAUGGCUUAGCAUGUUUGAAUGAGAUUGUGAUGCUAUUUUCUUUUGUAUUUUACCUUGAUAUUUAAUAUCCUCAUUUGUUAUUUGCAGCACCAAAUUAUCUUUAGUUUUUCAUUUUCCAGCGUAUUGAAGAUCCAGAGAUACGAGAAAGACAUCUAGGAGAUCUUCAAGGUUUUUCUAUGCGUGAGGCAGCUAAACUUAAGGUCGAUGCUAAUAAAGCAUCUUUAUCAUCAAGGGCAGAUCAAGAGAUCCCAGGGGUUGGUGAAAGUUUUGAUCAACAUUUUCACCGUUGCACAUCCUCAUUGCAGAAAAUCGGAAGGAAGCAUAAAGGUUUAGAGAAUGUGCAUUUCGGGAUUCUUUCUUGAGAGAUAGAGUUAUCAAGCAAAUUCCAUUUCAGGACAAAGAUUGGCAGAGUUCACUCAUGGUGGAGUCUCAAAAGCAUUUCACAAGCGCGCUGCUCCAACAGCGGAAUUGCCAAGCAAGAUUCAGAAUGCAUCUAUAAGCAUAUUUGAAAUAGCUGAUGAGGAAGGGUGGACCAUCAAAGCCUGGGGUGAAGUUG